Molecule: small nucleolar RNA, 118 nt
Organism: Myotis lucifugus (little brown bat)
Lineage: Eukaryota; Metazoa; Chordata; Mammalia; Chiroptera; Vespertilionidae
Source: Ensembl
GUCAAGUACUUCAAAAUGUUCCAAAAGGUGUGCUACAGUUCUUGGAGAGAAUCUGCUGGUCUUGAUUCACUGGCGUGGGCAGUAAGUGCCCCCAGUAGUGCCCAGAUCAGAAACAUAG